CGGGGUGAGUAACACUGGAUAACCUACCUAUAAGACUGGGAUAACUUCGGGAAACCGGAGCUAAUACCGGAUAACAUGUUGAACCGCAUGGUUCAACAGUGAAAGACGGUCUUGCUGUCACUUAUAGAUGGAUCCGCGUUGCAUUAGCUAGUUGGUAAGGUAACGGCUUACCAAGGCAACGAUGCGUAGCCGACCUGAGAGGGUGAUCGGCCACACUGGAACUGAGACACGGUCCAG
This 237-nucleotide ribosomal RNA is filed under the name uncultured bacterium. RNAcentral describes it as "partial 16S ribosomal RNA". It matches the Rfam family "Bacterial small subunit ribosomal RNA", at positions 104 to 334 of the family's 1533-position model. The record is from RNAcentral.